AUCCUCGGCCCUAGCAGCCGGGGAAUUUUGUGUCCUCCGAGGAACCGUCGUCUCGCGAGAUCGGUGACGCUCUUGGCGGAAGGCUCAGGUGCUUCAGGAAAGCUUGAGCAGACGGAGCCUUGGCAAGUGCGCUUCUGCUGUAGGUGCUGGUCCCACUUGCCUGAUCUCCGGAAAAGCAGUAGCUCGGUGGCUCAGAUGACAAAGAAUCUGCCUGCAAUGCGGGAGACAUGGGUUCGAUCCCUGGGUUGGGAAGAUCCCCUGGAGGAAGACAUGGCAACCCACUCCAGUAUUCUUGCCUGGAGAAUCCCCAUGGACAGAAGAGCCUGGCGGGUUACAGUCCAUGGGGUCACAAAGAGUCAGACGUGACUGAGCGACUAAGCACAGCACAGCACACCUAAUAUUGAUGAAGAUACAAAAGGUAACCAAGGCAGAAAUACAACUGAAUCCAUGACUGCUCAGCAGUCUCAGAGGCACCUACAGCUGGGACCAGGGAAACCUGCCUCCUCCUUAGAGCAAGUGUGCCUCACUGGCCUCAGGCACAUUCUACUUGACUGAGUCCCCCAGUCUCAACUGUGGUCCUCUUCCUGGCCACACCAUCAGGGGGAAGCUGGUGAGGAAGAGACAGAGUGAGGACAUAGAACAGUACAUAACUCAGCAAUCGGGAACUGGAAUCUGUGUGCCUGACCAGCAUCCUUCACUAACAGUGUUAAUCUCUCCCAUCACUCUCUCCUUGUUCCUUACUGUGUACGUUAAGUUGAUUCAGUAAACCAUGUGACUUAAGCAUCGUUUUUUGGUGUGUAAUCCUUUGUGUUCCAUGACCUCUGGAAUGACUUGCCUGGUAAUGUAUUUGGAGGCUACCAUUUUAUCAAGGUAACUUUCCACAAGGCACAGAGACUUAAAAGACUUCUGGUCUUCUCGUUUUAACUAGGCACAGCAACCCACUAUCUACAUGAACUCAUUUAAGCUCCAAACCUCUCCUCAUAGCUCACUAUUCUCUAUCUGCUACAGGCCUAACUUGUCUCUAAAGGACCAAAAACAUAAUACAUUUGGAUUAACUAACCUAAGUACGGAAGCUGCAACAACAAUGUUGUAUAUUUCUCUUUAUUGCCUCUACUAAAUGUCAGUCAAACUUCAGCAAAUAAUCUUGAUAAAAUAGUGCUAAAGUCUGGUUUGCAGCCACAUAAUAAAAAGAUGUAAGUUCAUGGGAAAUAGAGAACAUUAUUAGCUAUAUAAAAUAGAUAAGAAAUUAUGCAUGACUGAUUACAGUUUUUCUUUUUAAAAUUAAUGACUAAAUCAAAACAGGUACUUACUGAGAAUCACUCCCCAAACCCAAGAGUUGUUUAGAUAAAAGGUCCAGCUUGGUGACAAUGUUUCAACUAAAACUAUAACUAC
This is a long non-coding RNA of Dama dama (fallow deer), 1392 nucleotides long. RefSeq lists it as uncharacterized. NCBI's taxonomy places the organism in Eukaryota, Metazoa, Chordata, Mammalia, Artiodactyla, Cervidae. The transcript is spliced from 3 exons. The record is from RefSeq and is a predicted model, not a curated record.